Molecule: unclassified non-coding RNA, 403 nt
Filed under: Hevea brasiliensis (rubber tree)
Lineage: Eukaryota; Viridiplantae; Streptophyta; Magnoliopsida; Malpighiales; Euphorbiaceae
Source: RNAcentral
UCUCUCCAAGAAUCCUUCUCAACACCAUCCCUUAUCUUAUUUGUAACAAGCCUAAAAAAAAUUGUGCCCAAUUCUGAAUGCUCUUCUAAAACUACAGCAAUUGCACAACUCAGAGGCUGUAGUGAACCUCUCGAGGGUGACAUGGGGCUUGGAGUUCCACACAACAAAGAACACAACGCUAGUGUGUUCCAGCAGUCUAAAACACAUCUUCCACAGGGCACAACAAAAGCAGAAAUUCGUGUUUUCUUAUGUGGCAGCUUGUGAAGAUGUGUUUUUCAAUCCAAACAGGUUUCCAAGCGUGUUUUCAGCAAUCCUAACAUGAUCCUACUUGUUUUCGGAAAGUUAUUGAAUGUUUUGGGAGAGUUUGUCAAAAUUAAUCUAAUUUAUUUUCCUAUUUCAAUUA